AUGCACGCUGGCGGCGUGCCUAAUACCUGCAAGUCGCGCGAACAGACGAGGAGCUUGCUCCUCUGACGUUAGCGGCGGACGGGUGAGUAACACGUGGAUAACCUACCUAUAAGACUGGGAUAACUACGGGAAACCGGAGCUAAUACCGGAUAAUAUAUUGAACCGCAUGGUUCAAUAGUGAAAGACGGUUUUGCUGUCACUUAUAGAUGGAUCCGCGCCGCAUUAGCUAGUUGGUAAGGUAACGGCUUACCAAGGCAACGAUGCGUAGCCGACCUGAGAGGGUGAUCGGCCACACUGGAACUGAGACACGGUCCAGACUCCUACGGGAGGCAGCAGUAGGGAAUCUUCCGCAAUGGGCGAAAGCCUGACGGAGCAACGCCGCGUGAGUGAUGAAGGUCUUCGGAUCGUAAAACUCUGUUAUUAGGGAAGAACAAAUGUGUAAGUAACUAUGCACGUCUUGACGGUACCUAAUCAGAAAGCCACGGCUAACUACGUG
Molecule: ribosomal RNA, 496 nt
Filed under: uncultured bacterium
Lineage: Bacteria
Description: partial 16S ribosomal RNA
Rfam family: Bacterial small subunit ribosomal RNA
Source: RNAcentral